UGGUUGUUGUUGGUAAUACGGUGGUGGUGGUUAUUGUUGGUAAUAUUGUGGUGGUUGUUGUUGUUGGUAAUAUUGUGGUGUUUGUUGUUGUUGGUAAUAUUGUGGUGUUUGUUGUUGUUGGGAAUAUUGUGGUGGUUGUUGUUGUUGGAAAUAUGGUUGUUGCAUUCGGGGAUCGUCCAAAUAGAACGGGUCAGACACAAU
Molecule: long non-coding RNA, 201 nt
Filed under: Lathyrus oleraceus (garden pea)
Lineage: Eukaryota; Viridiplantae; Streptophyta; Magnoliopsida; Fabales; Fabaceae
Description: Pisum sativum (pea) long non-coding RNA (PSAT_LNC038813)
Source: RNAcentral